CACUCCUGCGGGAGGCAGCAGUGGGGAAUAUUGGACAAUGGGCGCAAGCCUGAUCCAGCCAUGCCGCGUGAGUGAUGAAGGCCCUAGGGUUGUAAAGCUCUUUCACCGGUGAAGAUAAUGACGGUAACCGGAGAAGAAGCCCCGGCUAACUUCGUGCCAGCAGCCGCGGUAAUACGAAGGGGGCUAGCGUUGUUCGGAUUUACUGGGCGUAAAGCGCACGUAGGCGAACUAUUAAGUCAGGGGUGAAAUCCCGGGGCUCAACCCCGGAACUGCCUUUGAUACUGGUAGUCUUGAGUUCGAGAGAGGUGAGUGGAAUUCCGAGUGUAGAGGUGAAAUUCGUAGAUAUUCGGAGGAACACCAGUGGCGAAGGCGGCUCACUGGCUCGAUACUGACGCUGAGGUGCGAAAGCGUGGGGGGCAAACAGGAUUAGAUACCCUAGUAGUCCCAUGAU
Molecule: ribosomal RNA, 451 nt
Filed under: uncultured organism
Description: partial 16S ribosomal RNA
Rfam family: Bacterial small subunit ribosomal RNA
Source: RNAcentral